Molecule: long non-coding RNA, 365 nt
Organism: Salvia miltiorrhiza (redroot sage)
Lineage: Eukaryota; Viridiplantae; Streptophyta; Magnoliopsida; Lamiales; Lamiaceae
Exons: 2
Source: RefSeq, a predicted model, not a curated record
GUCGUAUUUCUGGGCGAAAUACGAUUUGAGGACGUUUGAGGCUUCAAACGAAGGCUUGAAGCUGACUGGUCUGUUCAGCUGCGAGUUUGACGAAAACUUUAGAAAUUUCAAGAGUUCAUAUAGGGAUGCGUUGGUAGAAAUCAUCAAAGGGAGUUAUCAAUUUCAAGAAUUAGUUUUGCAGUUUCAGAGUCGAAGUGGCCAUGGAAGUGGAGAAUGACUAGGGAUAAGGAUUUCUUUUACAUUGGACAUUUUAGUUGAACUUAUUAAGUUUUAUUUUAUUUUCAUGUUACUACUUUAGUUUUGGCAAGUUGACUUUGAAAUUAGUUUAAAUUUUCUUUAUAAAUCAAUAAAUUUUAUUUUCACUA